AAAAUGUGUGAGGCACG
Molecule: ribosomal RNA, 17 nt
Filed under: Lactarius kauffmanii
Lineage: Eukaryota; Fungi; Basidiomycota; Agaricomycetes; Russulales; Russulaceae
Description: partial 18S ribosomal RNA
Source: RNAcentral